CCGUUACCCUGCAGAAAGAAGCACCCGGCUAAAUAACGUGCCAGCAGCCCGCGGUAAUACGUAGGGUGCGAGCGUUAUCCGGAAAUUAUUGGGCGUAAAGAGCUCGUAGGCCGGUUUGUCGCGUCUGUCGUGAAAAGUCCCGGGGCUUAAACCCCGGAUCUGCCGGUGGGUACGGGCAGACUAGAGUGCAGUAGGGGAGACUGGAAUUCCUGGUGUAGCGGUGGAAUGCGCAGAUAUCAGGAGGAACACCGAUGGCGAAGGCAGGUCUCUGGGCUGUAACUGACGCUGAGGAGCGAAAGCAUGGGGAGCGAACAGGAUUAGAUACCCCUGGUAGUCCAUGCCGUAAACGUUGGGCACUAGGUGUGGGGACCAUUCCACGGUUUCCGCGCCGCAGCUAACGCAUUAAGUGCCCCGCCUGGGGAGUACGGCCGCAAGGCUAAAACUCAAAGGAAUUGACGGGGGCCCGCACAAGCGGCGGAGCAUGCGGAUUAAUUCGAUGCAACGCGAAGAACCUUACCAAGGCUUGACAUGUUCUCGAUCGCCGUAGAGAUACGGUUUCCCCUUUGGGGCGGGUUCACAGGUGGUGCAUGGUUGUCGUCAGCUCGUGUCGUGAGAUGUUGGGUUAAGUCCCGCAACGAGCGCAACCCUCGUUCCAUGUUGCCAGCACGUCGUGGUGGGGACUCAUGGGAGACUGCCGGGGUCAACUCGGAGGAAGGUGAGGACGACGUCAAAUCAUCAUGCCCCUUAUGUCUUGGGCUUCACGCAUGCUACAAUGGCCGGUACAAUGGGUUGCGAUACUGUGAGGUGGAGCUAAUCCCAAAAACCCGGUGCUCAGUUCGGAUUGGGGGUGUGCAACUCGACCGCCAUGAAGUACGGAGUCGUGUAUAAUCGCAGAU
This 896-nucleotide ribosomal RNA is filed under the name Micrococcus sp. REICA_095. Its description in RNAcentral is "bacterial SSU rRNA". It matches the Rfam family "Bacterial small subunit ribosomal RNA", at positions 472 to 1349 of the family's 1533-position model. Lineage: Bacteria; Bacillati; Actinomycetota; Actinomycetes; Micrococcales; Micrococcaceae. The record is from RNAcentral.